This 253-nucleotide ribosomal RNA is filed under the name uncultured bacterium. RNAcentral describes it as "partial 16S ribosomal RNA". It matches the Rfam family "Bacterial small subunit ribosomal RNA", at positions 524 to 776 of the family's 1533-position model. The record is from RNAcentral.
UACGAAGGGGGCUAGCGUUGCUCGGAAUCACUGGGCGUAAAGGGCGCGUAGGCGGCGUUUUAAGUCGGGGGUGAAAGCCUGUGGCUCAACCACAGAAUGGCCUUCGAUACUGGGACGCUUGAGUAUGGUAGAGGUUGGUGGAACUGCGAGUGUAGAGGUGAAAUUCGUAGAUAUUCGGAGGAACACCAGUGGCGAAGGCGGCUCACUGGUCCAUUACUGACGCUGAGGUGCGAAAGCGUGGGGAGCAAACAGG